This 804-nucleotide ribosomal RNA is filed under the name uncultured bacterium. RNAcentral describes it as "bacterial SSU rRNA". It matches the Rfam family "Bacterial small subunit ribosomal RNA", at positions 8 to 805 of the family's 1533-position model. The record is from RNAcentral.
AGAGUUUGAUCCUGGCUCAGGAUGAACGCUAGCGGCAGGCUUAACACAUGCAAGUCGAGGGGUAACGCGGGGUAGCAAUACUCUGGCGACGACCGGCGCACGGGUGCGUAACGCGUAUGCAACCUGCCCUCAACCGGGACAUAACGCCGAGAAAUUGGCGCUAAUAUCCCAUGUGUAUGUGAGGCGGCAUCGUCUUACAUAUAAAGAUUCAUUGGUUGAGGAUGGGCAUGCGUAACAUUAGCUGGUUGGCGGGGUAACGGCCCACCAAGGCGACGAUGUUUAGGGGUUCUGAGAGGAUUCACCCCCACACUGGAACUGAGACACGGUCCAGACUCCUACGGGAGGCAGCAGUAGGGAAUAUUGGGCAAUGGAGGCAACUCUGACCCAGCCAUGCCGCGUGAAGGAAGACGGCCCUAUGGGUUGUAAACUUCUUUUGCCGCAGAGUAACCUCGGGGACGAGUCCCCGACUGAGAGUAUGCGGCGAAUAAGUAUCGGCUAACUCCGUGCCAGCAGCCGCGGUAAUACGGAGGAUGCGAGCGUUAUCCGGAUUUAUUGGGUUUAAAGGGUGCGCAGGCGGGCGAUUAAGUCAGCGGUGAAAGGCUCGGGCUCAACCGGAGCAGUGCCGUUGAUACUGGUUGUCUUGAAUGCGGUCAAGGCCGGCGGAAUGUGGCGUGUAGCGGUGAAAUGCAUAGAUAUGCCACAGAACACCGAUAGCGAAGGCAGCUGGCCGGGCCUGCAUUGACGCUGAGGCACGAAAGUGUGGGGAUCGAACAGGAUUAGAUACCCUGGUAGUCCACGCUGUAA